UUGCAGACUCUUUUUCUCCAUCGCCACCUCUUCAUUACUCAUCUCUAGCUUCCAAAGCUUCGCCUUGACUUUGACGGCAUCCUACUGAGCCCGAUAUAAGUCUUUUUCGAGAGUUUCAAUUCAAAUUCUCAGAGAUAAGACUGUCGGAAGAUGCUUAACCUGAUAUUAGGUGAACAUGCGGUCGCAACAAUCACAUCAGAUCAACUGAAAAGAUCAUUAUACAUAAAUAAGUUUAAAAAU
This 240-nucleotide long non-coding RNA is filed under the name Elaeis guineensis (African oil palm). Its description in RNAcentral is "long non-coding RNA (EGUI_LNC013828)". Lineage: Eukaryota; Viridiplantae; Streptophyta; Magnoliopsida; Arecales; Arecaceae. The record is from RNAcentral.